This 419-nucleotide ribosomal RNA is filed under the name uncultured bacterium. RNAcentral's name for it is "bacterial SSU rRNA". It matches the Rfam family "Bacterial small subunit ribosomal RNA", at positions 358 to 769 of the family's 1533-position model. The record is from RNAcentral.
GGAAUCUUCGGCAAUGGACGAAAGUCUGACCGAGCAACGCCGCGUGAGUGAAGAAGGUUUUCGGAUCGUAAAACUCUGUUGUUAGAGAAGAACAAGUGAGAGAGUUACUGUUCUCACCUUGACGGUAUCUAACCAGAAAGCCACGGCUAACUACGUGCCAGCAGCAGCGGUAAUACGUAGGUGGCAAGCGUUGUCCGGAUUUAUUGGGCGUAAAGCGAGCGCAGGCGGGUUCUUAAGUCUGAUGUGAAAGCCCUCGGCUCAACCGAGGAAGGUCAUUGGAAACUGGGGAACUUGAGUGCAGAAGAGGAGAGUGGAAUUCCAUGUGUAGCGGUGAAAUGCGUAGAUAUAUGGAGGAACACCAGUGGCGAAGGCGACUCUCUGGUAUGUAACUGACGCUGAGGCUCGAAAGCGUGGGGAGC